This 67-nucleotide transfer RNA is filed under the name Acanthobothrium sp. MZUSP 7998. Its description in RNAcentral is "tRNA-His". Lineage: Eukaryota; Metazoa; Platyhelminthes; Cestoda; Tetraphyllidea; Onchobothriidae. The record is from RNAcentral.
UUACUGGUAGGUUAUAUUUAAACUGGCAAAUUGUGGUUUUGUUGAUUACAUUUUUUUUUAAGUUGUA